GAUGAACGCUGGCGGCGUGCCUAAUACAUGCAAGUCGAGCGAACAGACGAGGAGCUUGCUCCUCUGACGUUAGCGGCGGACGGGUGAGUAACACGUGGAUAACCUACCUAUAAGACUGGGAUAACUUCGGGAAACCGGAGCUAAUACCGGAUAAUAUAUUGAACCGCAUGGUUCAAUAGUGAAAGACGGUUUUGCUGUCACUUAUAGAUGGAUCCGCGCCGCAUUAGCUAGUUGUUAAGGUAACGGCUUACUAAGGCAACGCUGCGUAGCCGACCUGAGAGGGUGAUCGGCCACCCUGGAAGUGGGACACGGUCCAUGCGCCUACGGGAGGGAGCAGAAGGGAAUCGUCCGCAGUGGUCGAAAGCAUGACGGAGCAACGCCGCGUGAGUGAUGACGGUCUUCGGAUCGUAAAACUCUGUUAUUAGGUAUGAACAAAUGUGUAAGUAACUAUGCACGUAUUGACGGUACCUAAUCAGAAAGCCACGGCUAACUACGUG
RNAcentral lists this ribosomal RNA (497 nucleotides) under uncultured bacterium. Its description in RNAcentral is "partial 16S ribosomal RNA". It matches the Rfam family "Bacterial small subunit ribosomal RNA", at positions 28 to 507 of the family's 1533-position model. The record is from RNAcentral.